GACGAACGCUGGCGGCGUGCUUAACACAUGCAAGUCGAACGGGCCUUGUCCCCUUUUUUUUUGGGGGUGGGGUUAGUGGCGAACGGGUGAGUAACACGUGAGUAACCUGCCCCUCACUUCUGGAUAACCGCUUGAAAGGGUGGCUAAUACGGGGUGUUCUGGCCUGCUCGCAUGGGUGGGUUUGGAAAGAUUCGACCGGUUUUGGUUGUUUUGGUGGGGGAUGGGCUCGCGGCCUAUCAGCUUGUUGGUGGGGUGAUGGCCUGCCAAGGCUUUGACGGGUAGCCGGCCUGAGAGGGUGGGCGGUCACACUGGGACUGAGACACGGCCCAGACUCCUACGGGAGGCAGCAGUGGGGAAUAGUGCACAAUGGGCGCAAGCCUGAUGCAGCGACGCCGCGUGAGGGAUGGAGGCCUUCGGGUUGUGAACCUCUUUCGCCAGUGAAGAAGGUCCUGCUCUUUGUGGUGGGGUUGACGGUAGCGGGGUUAAUGAAGCGCCGGCUAACUACGUG
This 508-nucleotide ribosomal RNA is filed under the name uncultured bacterium. RNAcentral describes it as "partial 16S ribosomal RNA". It matches the Rfam family "Bacterial small subunit ribosomal RNA", at positions 28 to 507 of the family's 1533-position model. The record is from RNAcentral.